RNAcentral lists this small RNA (638 nucleotides) under Pongo abelii (Sumatran orangutan). RNAcentral describes it as "processed transcript". Lineage: Eukaryota; Metazoa; Chordata; Mammalia; Primates; Hominidae. The record is from RNAcentral.
GGGCCUUCGGUGGCCGGAAGUCGCGGUCCCUUUACCGACUCUAGGAAGGGCUGGAUAUGUUUCGAAUGGGCGCUUGCGAGAGAGGUGGCCAACUCUCCCUGUCCAGCCGCCUGCAGCUGACCCUGUACCAGUACAAGACUUGUCCCUUCUGCAGCAAGAAAGGUGCCCAUCCUGGUGGCCCAGGAAGGAGAAAGCUUGCAACAACUGAACGACUCCUCUGUCAUCAUCAGUGCCCUCAAGACCUACCUGGUGUCGGGCCCCUGGAAGAGAUCAUCACCUACUACCCAGCCAUGAAGGCUGUGAACGACCAGGGCAGGGAGGUGACCGAGUUCGGCAAUAAGUACUGGCUCAUGCUCAACGAGAAGGAGGCCCAGCAAGUGUAUGGCGGGAAGGAGGCCAGGACGGAGGAGAUGAAGUGGCGGCAGUGGGCGGACGACUGGCUGGUGCACCUGAUCUCCCCCAAUGUGUACCGCACGCCCACCGAGGCUCUGGCGUCCUUUGACUACAUUGUCCGCGAGGGCAAGUUCGGAGCCGUGGAGGGCGCCGUGGCCAAGUACAUGGGUGCAGCAGCCAUGUACCUCAUCAGCAAGCGACUCAAGAGCAGGCACCGCCUCCAGGACAAUGUGCGCGAGGACCUC